RNAcentral lists this unclassified non-coding RNA (235 nucleotides) under uncultured fungus. RNAcentral describes it as "partial contains 18S rRNA, ITS1 and 5.8S rRNA". Lineage: Eukaryota; Fungi. The record is from RNAcentral.
AGGUGAACCUGCGGAAGGAUCAUUAAAGAGUAAGGGUGCUCAGCGCCCGACCUCCAACCCUUUGUUGUUAAAACUACCUUGUUGCUUUGGCGGGACCGCUCGGUCUCGAGCCGCUGGGGAUUCGUCCCAGGCGAGCGCCCGCCAGAGUUAAACCAAACUCUUGUUAUUUAACCGGUCGUCUGAGUUAAAAUUUUGAAUAAAUCAAAACCUUCAACAACGGAUCUCUUGGUUCUCG